RNAcentral lists this long non-coding RNA (478 nucleotides) under Ficedula albicollis (Collared flycatcher). RNAcentral's name for it is "lncRNA (ENSFALG00000028118.1)". Lineage: Eukaryota; Metazoa; Chordata; Aves; Passeriformes; Muscicapidae. The record is from RNAcentral.
AUGUGGACAGUCUGGGACAAACUCCUCCUGUUCCUUGAAGCCUAUUAGAAGCAGCUCUGCCACAACCUUUGGAGAUCAGGUCUCUGGGAGUCCCGUAGAUGACAAAAAGAGGCCGUACUGUCUGUCCAGUGCAGUGGGAUGGUUCUGCUGACACAGAUGGAACAGCAAUGAUGCAAUGAUAGUGGAAUUUCCACCUCCUUAUACAACUCUGCAUGUAAAUAUGCGGAGAUGCUUUCUCUGCAUAUUUAAACGCACAGCUCUUAAACCAAGUGGACGCUAAUCCUGAGCUACCAAAAAACCCACAGGUACAGGAAAGGCAGAUUAUGUUCUGCAAAUCAUACACUGGGAUCUAGCCAAGUACAAAAGAAACUAAAUAAGAGCUGCAGUCAGGCCUUCGAAGGUAAAACAGUGUGAAACAUUUGCUUCUGUUAAAAGUAUUCCAAGUGCUUUUUUUGUGUGUCAGUCUUCCUGCAAAAUC